Molecule: ribosomal RNA, 582 nt
Filed under: uncultured bacterium
Lineage: Bacteria
Description: bacterial SSU rRNA
Rfam family: Bacterial small subunit ribosomal RNA
Source: RNAcentral
AGUGGCGGACGGGUGAGUAACGCGUGAGGAACCUGCCUUGGANAGGGGGACAACAGCUGGAAACGGCUGCUAAUACCGCAUGAUGCGUGAGGGAGACAUCUCCCACACGCCNNAGAUUUAUCGCUCUGANAUGGCCUCGCGUCUGAUUAGCUUGUUGGCGGGGUAACGGCCCACCAAGGCGACGAUCAGUAGCCGGACUGAGAGGUUGAACGGCCACAUUGGGACUGANAUACNGCCCAGACUCCUACGGGAGGCAGCAGUGGGGAAUAUUGGGCAAUGGGCGCNAGCCUGACCCAGCAACGCCGCGUGAAGGAAGAAGGCUUUCGGGUUGUAAACUUCUUUUAAGAGGGAAGAGCANAAGACGGUACCUCUAGAAUAAGCCACGGCUAACUACGUGCCAGCAGCCGCGGUAAUACGUANGUGGCAAGCGUUGUCCGGAUUUACUGGGUGUAAAGGGCGUGCAGCCGGGAGUGCNAGUCAGAUGUGAAAUCUAUGGGCUUAACCCAUAAACUGCAUUUGAAACUGUACUUCUUGAGUACCGGAGGGGCAAUCGGAAUUCCUAGUGUAGCGGUGAAAUGCGUA